This 253-nucleotide ribosomal RNA is filed under the name uncultured bacterium. Its description in RNAcentral is "partial 16S ribosomal RNA". It matches the Rfam family "Bacterial small subunit ribosomal RNA", at positions 524 to 776 of the family's 1533-position model. The record is from RNAcentral.
UACGUAGGGAGGAAGCGUUGUCCCGAUUUACUGGGUGUAAAGGGUGCGUAGGCGGCUCUGCAAGUCAGGUGUGAAAACUAUGGGCUUAACCCAUAGACUGCAUUUGAAACUGUGGGGCUUGAGUGAAGUAGAGGCAGGCGGAAUUCACGGUGUAGCGGUGAAAUGCGUAGAGAUCGGGAGGAACACCAGUGGCGAAGGCGGCCUGCUGGGCUUUAACUGACGCUGAGGCACGAAAGCAUGGGUAGCAAACAGG